Molecule: ribosomal RNA, 280 nt
Filed under: uncultured bacterium
Lineage: Bacteria
Description: partial 16S ribosomal RNA
Rfam family: Bacterial small subunit ribosomal RNA
Source: RNAcentral
GUGGAUUAGAUACCCUAGUAGUCCACGCCGUAAACGAUGGAUACUAGCUGUUGGGCGCAAGUUCAGUGGCUAAGCGAAAGUGAUAAGCAUCCCACCUGGGGAGUACGAACGCAAGUUUGAAACUCAAAGGAAUUGACGGGGGCCCGCACAAGCGGUGGAGCAUGUGGUUUAAUUCGAUGAUACGCGAGGAACCUUACCAAGGCUUAAAUGUAGAUUGACCGGUUUGGAAACAGACUUUUCGCAAGACAAUUUACAAGGUGCUACACGGCUGUCGACAGCU